UGUUGCAUGGCUGUCGUCAGCUCGUGUCGUGAGAUGUCGGUUAAGUCCGCUAACGAGCGCAACCUCGUCGUAUGUUAUAUGUGUCAUACGAGACUGCCGGUAAAAAGCCGGAGGAAGGUGAGGAUGAUGUCAAGUCAGCAUGACCUUUAUAUCCAGGGCUACACACACGCUACAAUGGUCUGUACAAUGGGUAGCCAAGCCGCGAGGCGGAGCCAAUCCUGAAAGCAGGCCUCAGUUCAGAUUGCAGUCUGCAACUCGACUGCAUGAAGCCGGAGUUGCUAGUAACCGCAGGUCAGCAAUACUGCGGUGAAUACGUUCCCGGGUCUU
This 327-nucleotide ribosomal RNA is filed under the name uncultured Anaerolineaceae bacterium. RNAcentral's name for it is "bacterial SSU rRNA". It matches the Rfam family "Bacterial small subunit ribosomal RNA", at positions 1039 to 1382 of the family's 1533-position model. The record is from RNAcentral. Lineage: Bacteria; Bacillati; Chloroflexota; Anaerolineae; Anaerolineales; Anaerolineaceae.